Molecule: ribosomal RNA, 433 nt
Filed under: uncultured bacterium
Lineage: Bacteria
Description: partial 16S ribosomal RNA
Rfam family: Bacterial small subunit ribosomal RNA
Source: RNAcentral
AACGAACGCUGGCGGCAUGCCUAACACAUGCAAGUCGAACGAAGCCUCCGGGCUUAUUGGCGCAUGGGGUUGUAACGCGUGGGAAUCUGCCCCUUGCUUCGGAAUAACAGUUAGAAAUGACUGCUAAUACCGGAUGAAGUCUUCUGACGAAAGAUUUCUCGGCAAGGGAUGAGCCCGCGUAGGAUUAGGUAGUUGGCUGGGUAAAGGCCUACCAAGCCGACGAUCCUUAGCUGGUCUGAGAGAAUGAUCAGCCACACUGGGACUGAGACACGGCCCAGACUCCUACGGGAGGCAGCAGUGGGGAAUGUUGGACAAUGGACGCAAGUCUGAUCCAGCAAUGCUGCGUGAGUGAUGAAGGCCUUAGGGUUGUAAAGCUCUUUUACCAGGGAUCAUAAUGACAGUACCUGGACAAUAAGCUCCGGCUAACUCCGUG